UUGAACGCUGGCGGUAUGCUUUACACAUGCAAGUCGAACGGGCUAUGGGGCUUGCUCCAUAGUUAGUGGCGAACGGGUGAGUAAUAUAUCGGAACAUAUCCGGAAGUGGGGGAUAACGUAGCGAAAGUUACGCUAAUACCGCAUACGCCCUGAGGGGGAAAGCGGGGGACCUUCGGGCCUCGCGCGAUUGGAGCGGCUGAUGUCGGAUUAGCUAGUUGGUGGGGUAAAGGCCUACCAAGGCGACGAUCCGUAGCUGGUCUGAGAGGAUGAUCAGCCACACUGGGACUGAGACACGGCCCAGACUCCUACGGGAGGCAGCAGUGGGGAAUUUUGGACAAUGGGCGCAAGCCUGAUCCAGCCAUGCCGCGUGAGUGAAGAAGGCCUUCGGGUUGUAAAGCUCUUUCAGACGGAAAGAAAUCGGGCGCGUGAAUAGCGUGCCUGGAUGACGGUACUGUCAGAAGAAGCACCGGCUAACUACGU
RNAcentral lists this ribosomal RNA (480 nucleotides) under uncultured bacterium. RNAcentral describes it as "bacterial SSU rRNA". It matches the Rfam family "Bacterial small subunit ribosomal RNA", at positions 30 to 506 of the family's 1533-position model. The record is from RNAcentral.